This is a long non-coding RNA of Oncorhynchus tshawytscha (Chinook salmon), 9865 nucleotides long. NCBI's taxonomy places the organism in Eukaryota, Metazoa, Chordata, Actinopteri, Salmoniformes, Salmonidae. The record is from Ensembl.
UCAACAGCAGUGUGAACAGCAGUGUCAACAGCAGUGUGAACAGCAGUGUCAACAGCAGUGUCAACAGCAGUGUCAACAGCAAUGUCAACAACAGUGUCAACAGCAGUGUCAACAGCAGUGUGAACAGCAGUGUCAACAGCAGUGUCAACAGCAGUGUCAAUGGUCGGUAGUGAUGCCUCUUCGACUCAGAUCCUUUAGUUGUUUGCAUUUUAAGAUAAAAAAAUCCAACAAAAAAGACAAGCAAGAAAACACAUUGUUCUGAAUCUUUGGAGGUGGGCUAAGGACAUCCCCUCCGCCAGGGGCUAAGGACAUCCCCUCCGCCAGGGGCUAAGGGCAUCCCCUCCGCCAGGGGCUAAGGACAUCCCCUCCGCCAGGGACUAAGGACAUCGGGCUAAGGGCAUCCCCUCCGCCAGGGGCUAAGGACAUCGGGCUAAGGGCAUCCCCUCCGCCAGGGGCUAAGGACAUCAGGCUAAGGACAUCCCCUCCGCCAGGGGCUAAGGACAUCCCCUCCGCCAGGGGCUAAGGGCAUCCCCUCCGCCAGGGGCUAAGGACAUCCCCUCCGCCAGGGGCUAAGGACAUCCCCUCCGCCAGGGACAUCCCCUCCGCCAGGGGCUAAGGACAUCCCCUCCGCCAGGGGCUAAGGGCAUCCCCUCCGCCAGGGGCUAAGGACAUCCCCUCCGCCAGGGGCUAAGGGCAUCCCCUCCGCCAGGGGCUAAGGACAUCCCCUCCGCCAGGGGCUAAGGACAUCCCCUCCGCCAGGGGCUAAGGGCAUCCCCUCCGCCAGGGGCUAAGGGCAUCCCCUCCGCCAGGGGCUAAGGGCAUCCCCUCCGCCAGGGGCUAAGGGCAUCCCCUCCGCCAGGGGCUAAGGACAUCCCAGGGGCUAAGGACAUCCCCUCCGCCCAUUUCUUACUGUUCAUAUCUGAUUUGACUUUCUGCUUUCCCUUCCUCCAUCUCUGCUUCCUUCAUUUUCACAUCUCUCUCAUCUGGUUUUGUGUUUUUUUUUACAUUAUAAUUAUUUCUGCAGCCUUUUAUUCCAUAUACAGGGCCCAUAGGGCCACGGUCUAAAGUAGUGCACUAUAUAUAGAGAAUAGGGUGCCAUAGAGGUGCGGUCUAAAAUAGUGCACUAUACAUAGGGAAUAGUUGCUGGGACUGCUUGUCUCUUUCCAGUGAUCCUGCCGACCAAGGAUGGGUCUGAGGAGCUAUUUGGCGUCUCAGCUAGCCUAGCUGCUAGCCUAGCUGCAUAUCAAGUUAGCGGGGUGUUCUUGAACGCAGUCCGCGACGCGGUUAGCCAUUGUGGCUGGGACCGCUCAUUGACCCGGGUUUGUGGCUGUCUCGAUCCCUGCUGUUUGUUGUUUUCAAUCUUCCCUGUGACCUGCCCUGUCUGGAACUGAGAGGAGUAACAGCAUAACCUACGUUGCUAGCUACCAUGACAAAGACCAAAGCUGGCAGGAGUACUGUUGAGGACAGUGGUGUCUCUCUAUCACACAAAAAAUACCUACAAAAAAUACCUACAAGCAGUCGUUACAACAAGAAAAUAGCUUCAAGUGUUUUGUCCAAAUACUUGUGGAUCCUACUAAUAAAAGAAUGGACGACCUGACCAGAGAGGUCCAAGACCUGAAGAACAGUUUGCAGUUCUCCCAGGGUCAGCUCGACGAGUUGAAACAGGAGAACGGGCAAGAUGACAGCAGUUCUGUAUGUGAAUCCAUGAUAAUCAGAUUUUUACAUCAUUCUUAUCUCGAGGGAUAACAAGGCAGAACAUGGUUGUGGACCGAAUUGCAGAAUCUCAACAUGAGACCUGGACGGAGUCUGAGAGCAAAGUGAGGGAAAUGAUCUGAGAAAUUGAAGAUGGACCACAGGAAGAUUGCAGGUGACAGGCCCAGACCGAUAGUGGUCAAGUUCCUGAGGUUCAAGGACAAGGUAGCUGUUUUGGAAAGAGUCAAGAACUUGAGAGGAAUGUGCAUCUUCCUCAACAAGGACUAUCUUGAAACUGUGCGCCAGAAGAGGAAAGAACUGAUCCCAGCCAUGAAACUGCCAGAGUGCGUGAGGACAUUGCAUACAUCCACUAUGACAGCCUCAUUGUCCACCCUUCCUCCCAGAAGCCUGGAAGGGAUGAGAGAGCCGAGCCUAUGGGCUCGUAGCUUCAACCCCGCAGCACACACACACACCAACUGAUUAAUGGACUGCUGAAUGUAUAUGUCUUUCUCUUGCUUUGUUCGCUCUUUUCAGUAUUAUGUCUGUCUCUGAUAAGCUACCCAGGAAAGGGUCGAAAAUAGCUCAUAUUAAUAUAUGCAGCUUUAGAAAUAAAGUCAAUAACUUGAUAACAUUCAUAUAUUAGCCAUUUGAGACUCACUUAAAUAAUUAAUUUGAUGAUACUGCAGUAGCAAUACAAGGAUAUAACAUUUACAGAAGAGACAGGCAUGUUUAUGGGGGAGGUGUUGCUGUAUAUAUUCAGUCAUAUCCCUGUAAUGCUUAUGGGGGAGGUGUUGCUGUAUAUAUUCAGAGCCGUAUAAUGCUUAGAGAAGAUCUUAAGUGUUAUUGAAGUGUUGUGGUGGCAGGUUCACCUGGCACAUCUAAAGCCUUUUCUUUUGGGGUGUUGCUAUAGGCCACCAAGUGCUAACGGUCAGUAUCUAAAUAAUAUGUGUGAAAUGCUUGAUAGUGUAUGUGAUGUAAACAGAGAGGUCUACUUUCUUGGGGACCUGAAUAUUGACUGGUUUAAAUCAAGCUGUCUGCUCAAGAGGAAGCUUCUCACUGUGACCAGUGCCUGUAAUCUGGUUCAGGUUAUUAAUCAACCUAUCAGGGUGUUUACAAACACUAAAGGAACAAGAUCAUCCACAUAUAUCGAUCACAUAUUUACUAAUGCUGUAGAACUUUAUUCUAAACCUAUAUCCAUACCCAUUGGAUGCAGUGAGCACAAUAUAGUGGCUAUAUGCAGGAAAGCCAAAGUUCCAUCAGCUGGUCCUAAAAUAGUGUAUAAGAGAUCAUACAAAAGAUUUUGCUUAUGUGGAUGAUAUUAAACAUAUUUGUUGGUCUGAUGUGAUUAAUACGCAGCAUCCAGACACUGCACUUGAUGAAUGUAUGAAAUUGCCUCUUCCAAUUAUUGAUAAACAUGAACCUGUUAAGAAACUGACUGUUAGAACUGUAAAGGCUCCAUGGAUUGAUGAGGAAUUGAAAAACUGUAUUGGUUGAAAGAGAUGGAGGCAAAAGGAGUGGCUAAUAAGUCUGGCUGCACAUCUGACUGGCUGACUUACUGCAAAUUGAGAAAUUAUGUGACUAAACUCAACAAAAAGAAGAAGAAGCCAAGAUCAAUUAUAUAAAGAAUUUUGGAGAAAAAAACGUUUGUAUUUUAAAUGAAAUAAUGGACAGAAAGACAAAUUCAACCCUAAAUUAAACUCCAUCUUUCAUCAAAUCAGAUGACUUAUUCAUCACAAAACCAUUUGUUGCCAAUUAUUUUAAUGAUUAUUUCAUUUGCAAAAUGGGCAAACUUAGGCAGGAAAUGCCCACGACAAACAGUGAGCAAUUAUAUUAAUGCAUAAAAAAAUAAAUAAUGAAAAACCUCCUGGCAUUGACAACUUAGAUCGAAAGCUACUAAGGAUGGUGGCUGACUCUAUAGCCACUCCUAUCUGUCAUAUCUUUAAUCUGAGUCUAGAGGAAAGUCUUUGUCCUCAGGCCUGAAGGGAAGCCAAAGUAAUUCCGCUACCUAAGAGUGGUAAAGCAGCCUUUACUGGUUCUAACAGCAGACCUAUAAGCUUGCUGCCAGCUCUUAGCAAACUGUUGGAAAAAAUUGUGUUUGACCAAAUACAAUGCUAUUUCUCUGUAAAUUUUCUUUUUUUACCCCCCAAUUUCAUGGUAUCCAAUUGGUAGUAGUUACAGUCUUGUCUCAUCACUGCAACUCCCGUACAACCUUGGGAGAGGUGAAGGUCAAGAGCCAUGCUUCCUCCGAAACACAACCCAACCAAGCCGCACUGCUUCUUGACACAAUGCACAACCAACCCAGAAGCCAGCCACACCAAUGUGUCAGAGGAAACACCUGGUCAGCGUGCAGUGCGCCCAGCCCAACACAGGAGUGCGCGAUGAGACCAGGAUAUCCCUGCCGACCAAGCCCUCCCUAACCCGGACGACGCUGGGCCAAUUGUGCGCCGCCCCAUGGUCUCUUACCCAGAAUCUCUAGUGGCACAGCUAGCACUGCGAUGCAGUGCCUUAGACCACUAAGCCACCCUGUGAGGCCCUUCUGUAAACAAAUUAACAGACAUUUUGCAUGCUUAUAGACAAUGACCUGCCACUUGCAUUAAACAAAGCAUGUGUGUUCAUGUAUGCUGAUGAUUCAACCAUAUACGCAUCAGCAACCACAGCUAAUGAACUCACUGAAACCCUUAACAAAGAGUUGCAGUCUGUUUUGGAAUGCGUGGACAAUAAUAAACUGGUCCUGAACAUCUAUUCAACUAAGAGCAUUGUAUUUGGUACAUAUCAUUCCCUAAGUUCUAGACCUCAACUGAAUCUGGUAAUGAAUGGUGUGGCUGUUGAACAAGUUGAAGAGACUAAAAUACUUGGUGUUACCUUAGAAUGUAAACUGUCAUGGUCAAAACAUAUAGAUUCAGUGGUUGUAAAGAUGGGGAAAGGUCUGUCCAUAAUAAAGAGAUGCUCUGCUUUUUUGACACCACAAAGCAAUUCCUGCAGGCUCUAGUUUGGUCUAAUCUUGAUUAUUGUCCAGUCGUGUGGUCCAGUGCUGCAAGGAAAGACCUAGUUAAGCUGCAGCUGGUCCAGAACAGAGCAGCACGUCUUGCUCUUCAUUGUAAUCAGAGGACUGAUAUAAAUACUAUACAUGCCAGUCUCUCCUGGAUAAGAGUUGAGGAGAAACUGACUGCAUCACUUAUUUCUUUUUACAAUAAACAGCGUUGAAAAUCCCAAAUUGUUUGCAUAGUCAACUUACAUACAGCUCUGACACACACUUAUCCCAGCAGACAUGCCACCAGGGGUCUUUUCACAGUCUCCAAAUCGAGAACAAAUUCAAGAAAACGUACAGUAUUAUAUAGAGCCUUAUUGCAUGGACUUUCCUUCCAUCUCAUAUUGCUCAAAUAAACAGCAAACCUGGUUUCAAAAAACAGAUAAAACAACACCUCAUGGCACAACGCCUCUCCCCUAUUUGACCUAGAUAGUUUGUCCAUUGAUAUGUAGGCUACGUGUGCCUUUUUAAAAAUGUAUGUAGUUCUGUCAUUGAGCUGUUCUUGUCUAUUAAUGUUCUAUAUUAUGUUUCAUGUUCUGUGUGGAACCCCAGGAAGAGUAGCUGCUGCUUUUGCAACAGCCAAUGGGGAUCCUAAUAAAAUACCAAAUACAGUGCCAUAGGGCCCUGGUCAAAGUAGCGCACUAUAUAGGGUAUAAGGUUUCAUUAGGGAUGUAGUUACAGUGGUUGUUUUCAACACUCUUCUUGAAGAUUAUCUAAAGUGAGAUAUUGAGGUCUUAAAAUGGUGCCUGUUGAGAUGAAGAGGUAGCCAUGUUUAAUAUGGGAUGAUGUGUACCUUAUGAAGAGGUGAGGGGAGGUUUAAACAACAAAGCCCUCUAAGGGCCUGUGUCGGAGUCGGGUUGUAGUGUUGUGAGGGGGUGAUGUCUUGUAGUGUUGCAGAGUGUUAGUUGGAGUUUGUGUGGGGGGGUUCGGACAACCGCGUUUGGCUUUACACCUGCCUCUCAGUCAGGGAAAUUUCUAAAAUGGCGUGCCAGCUGUGAAUGUCCAAGAUGCAACCUUUUAGAAAUGUCAAUCCUUACAUGUCCAGUAGCCAGUAUGGCGAAGACUGCCACAUCGUUAUAGAUUUUCCUAUUUUAUUGUGUUAAACAAUCUGACCGACUGUUUCAACAGUUUUCUGGACAUGCAGAAUGUAGUACAACUCUAGUAGAAGGUAGUACAACUCUAGUAGAAGGUAGUACAACUCUAGUAGAAGGUAGUACAACUCUAGUAGAAGGUAGUACAACUCUAGUAGAAUGUAGUACAACUCUAGUAGAAGGUAGUACAACUCUAGACUAGUGGUUGAACUGUCACUGUACAGGUUAAUAACUGUAGAUCUGUAGAACAUGUACAAGAGUCACAAUGCAUCAAUUGUAUCGUCUCUCCGUAACCCAACACUUACCAGUCUGUAGGACACAGUGGUCAGAUCGUCUCUCCAUAACCCAGCACUUACCAGUCUGUUGGACACAGUGGUCAGAUCGUCUCUCCGUAACCCAACACUUACCAGUCUGUAGGACACAGUGGUCAGAUCAUCUCUCCGUAACCCAACACUUACCAGUCUGUUGGACACAGUGGUCAGAUCGUCUCUCCGUAACCCAACACUUACCAGUCUGUAGGACACAGUGGUCAGAUCGUCUCUCCAUAACCCAGCACUUACCAGUCUGUUGGACACAGUGGUCAGAUCGUCUCUCCGUAACCCAACACUUACCAGUCUGUAGGACACAGUGGUCAGAUCAUCUCUCCGUAACCCAACACUUACCAGUCUGUUGGACACAGUGGUCAGAUCGUCUCUCCGUAACCCAACACUUACCAGUCUGUAGGACACAGUGGUCAGAUCGUCUCUCCGUAACCAAACACUUACCAGUCUGUAGGACACAGCGGUCAGAUCGUCUCUCCGUAACCCAACACUUACCAGUCUGUAGGACACAGUGGUCAGAUCAUCUCUCCGUAACCCAACACUUACCAGUCUGUUGGACACAGUGGUCAGAUCGUCUCGCCGUAACCCAACACUUACCAGUCUGUUGGACACAGUGGUCAGAUUAUCUCUCCGUAACCCAACACUUACCAGUCUGUAGGACACAGUGGUCAGAUCAUCUCUCCGUAACCCAACACAUACCAGUCUGUAGGACACAGUGGUCAGAUCGUCUCGGAGUGACUGCGUCCCAAAUGACACCCUGUUCCCCACAUAGGGCUCUGGUCAACAGUAGUGCACUAAGGAGCCCAGUCUAAACUAUGUAGUAAAUAGUGUUCCAUUUGGGAGUCAGUAUCUCUACUGGGUUCUUUCAAAUUGAACUCUAAAGGGUUCUCGUCAACGAAACCAUUGGACUUCCUGUUUGCUGUACAUUUCUCAAGUACCUCCCAAAAUAUAUCCACUACAGCUAAACCCAUGUAGGGGAAAAUGACAUUCAGAAAUCAAAUAAAAAGAUAGUGAAAGUUUAGUGUCUGUUGAUUUUGGUACUGUUAAAUAAUUGUUUUGUUUAAAAGAGAAAAGACUGUUGGUUUAGUGUCUUCAGAUGAAGAGGUAGUGUUAUCUGCUGUACUGAAUACAGACAUCUGGGGCUGAUGGUCUGAAUAUAGAUAUCUGAUGCUGAUGGACUGAAUAUAGACAUCUGGGGCUGAUGGUCUGAAUACAGACAUCUGGGGCUGAUGGACUGAAUAUAGACAUCUGGGGCUGAUGGACUGAAUGUAGACAUCUGGGGCUGAUGGUCUGAAUACAGACAUCUGGGGUUGAUGGACUGAAUAUAGACAUCUGGGGCUGAUGGUCUAGUAUCUGGUCACAUGCAGCAACAUAAUGCUUCUCUACAGCCAUUACUGCAAUAGGACAAACCUUCUGCCUGUACCCCUCAGGGCUCAGCACUUCUAAGAUUCACAGUACUACCACUCUGGACUAUUAAACUUGUGAUAUAUAUUUUUUUAAACUUUUAUUUAACUAGGCAAGUCAGUUAAGAACAAAUUCUUAUUUUCAAUGACGGCCUAGGAACUGCCUGUUCAGGGGCAGAACAACAGAUUUGUACCUUGUCAGCUCAGGGGCUUGAACUUGCAACCUUCUGGUUCCUAGUCCAAUGCUCUAACCACUAGGCUACCCUGCCGCCCCGUCAUCUUCACCUUCUUAGUCAUGUGUUGUUGUAAUGGCUUACAAAGUAACACAGAAUUUCUCACUUCCACCUCUUUACUGCAGAGUAACAGAGAUUCUGAGUGGGGUAAUCCUACAGGAGGACAGUCUGUAGACGUCUGGACAGACAGGACUGUCUCCAGGAGGACAGAAAUCAAAUAAAAAGAUAGUGAAAGUUUAGUGUCUGUUUUGAUUUUGGUACUGUUAAAUAAUUGUUUUGUUUAAAAGAGAAAAGACUGUUGGUCUGUCUCCAGGAGGACAGUCUGUAGACCACUGUAUACCUCUGGACAGACAGGACUGUCUCCAGUAGGACAGUCUGUAGACCUCUGGACAGACAGGACUGUCUCCAGGAGGACAGUCUGUAGACCUCUGUAGACCUCUGGACAGACAGGACUGUCUCCAGGAGGACAGUCUGUAGACGUCUGGACAGACAGGACUGUCUCCAGGAGGACAGUCUGUAGACCUCUGGACAGACAGGACUGUCUCCAGGAGGACAGUCUGUAGACGUCUGGACAGACAGGACUGUCUCCAGGAGGACAGUCUGUAGACCUCUGUAGAUGUCUGGACAGACAGGACUGUCUCCAGGAGGACAGUCUGCAUACCUCUGGACAGACAGGACAGUCUGUAGACCUCUGACCAGACAGGACUGUCUCCAGGAGGACAGUCUGUAGACCUCUGGACAGACAGGACUGUCUCUUCACGUCUAAUGUCUCCAUAGUGUAAGUGCUGUUUUAGCAGCUCGAUGGAGAACGAAUGAAUAGCUGAUAUCAUCUCACCUGAAAGGUAGGCCUUAAAGGAAACAAGUCAGAAAAACGUUUUGUAAUAUGAAAAUAACAGAGGCAUUCAAAUACCUUGAAUGGCACCCUGUUCCCUAUAGAGUGCACUACAUGGCCCUGGUCUAAAGUAGUACACUAUAUAGGGAAUAGGGCUCUGGUCUAUAGUAGUGCACUAUAUAGGGAAUAGGGCUCUGGUCUAUAGUAGUGCACUAUAUAAGGAAUAGGGUCCUGGUCUAAAGUAGUGCACUAUAUAGGGAAUAGGGUUCCAUAGGGCUCUGGUCGAAAGUUGUGCACUAUAUAGAGAAUAAGAUGCCAUUUGGGACGUAGACACCAUCUUAGGUUAUUGGCGUGGCUCAGCUGAGAAUUCUAGAGUCGGCUGUAAACAGUGCCACGUUAAGUUGUUUCUGCUUUAUUGCGAGUGAGAAAAUGAUACGAAGAAAGCAUGGAAUAAGAACUAUGGUCAUAGACUAGAGUCUGUACAGCAGUUCAUUUAAUAUACUAGUCCAUAGGCUAGAGUUUGUACUGCAGUUCAGUCCUAGUUGAGGAAGAUCCAUUCUUAGACAGUGUUUCACAACGGGAGAUUCUGUAAUACAGCUCACUCACAACCUAACCACAACCCUUACCUCACCCUUUUAAAAUUUCAACGUCAAUGAGAUAAAAUCAGAGUUGGGAUGUCCCAAGGAUCCCGGAUUGCACCGACCGUUGCUAACCAGCCUGGAUCAGAGCAAUAAAGAACGUUUUUCAAAAAGUUAUUAUUCUGCGGUUUAUGUGUUCUAAGAGUUUCUUAUUCUGGGUUCUCUUUGUUCUAAGAGUUUCUUAUUCUGGGUUCUCUUUGUUCUAAGAGUUUCUUAUUCUGGGUUCUCUUUGUUCUAAGAGUUUAUUUUUCUGCGGUUUCUGUGUUCUAAGAGUUUCUUAUUCUGCGGGUUCUGUGUUCGAAGAGUUUCUUAUUCUGGGUUCUCUUUGUUCUAAGAGUUUCUUAUUCUGCGGGUUCUGUGUUCUAAGAGUUUCUUAUUCUGGGUUCUCUUUGUUCUAAGAGUUUCUUAUUCUGGGUUCUCUUUGUUCUAAGAGUUUCUUAUUCUGCGGUUUCUGUGUUCUAAGAGUUUCUUAUUCUGGGUUCUCUUUGUUCUAAGAGUUUCUUAUUCUGCGGUUUCCGUGUUCUAAGAGUUUCUUAUUUUUGGGCCAUUUAAAAACAUUUAGUGACUGUGAAGUCUUAUCAAUAAUAACAGAAAAAAACACACAUGUUGGGUUGUUUACUUGUUCUUU